CGCGGGGUGGAGCAGUGGCAGCUCGUCGGGCUCAUAACCCGAAGGUCAGGGGUUCGAAUCCCUUCCCCGCUACCA
This 75-nucleotide transfer RNA is filed under the name Chloroflexota bacterium. RNAcentral's name for it is "Chloroflexi bacterium tRNA-Met". It matches the Rfam family "tRNA". From Rfam's summary of the family: Transfer RNA (tRNA) molecules are approximately 80 nucleotides in length. Their secondary structure includes four short double-helical elements and three loops (D, anti-codon, and T loops). Further hydrogen bonds mediate the characteristic L-shaped molecular structure. tRNAs have two regions of fundamental functional importance: the anti-codon, which is responsible for specific mRNA codon recognition, and the 3' end, to which the tRNAs corresponding amino acid is attached (by aminoacyl-tRNA synthetases). tRNAs cope with the degeneracy of the genetic code in two manners: having more than one tRNA (with a specific anti-codon) for a particular amino acid; and 'wobble' base-pairing, i.e. permitting non-standard base-pairing at the 3rd anti-codon position. The record is from RNAcentral. RNAcentral also lists the same sequence under 5 other names. Lineage: Bacteria; Bacillati; Chloroflexota.